GAAGGCAAGAGGCUGUCAUCGUUCACAUCACAAGGACCAGAGACACCUUUCCUGGGAAGAGAGCUGACAAACCUUCUAUGGUAAGGGGUGAACAUCCUUGGGAAGCCACAGAGAGCAAGGCGCAGUUUUUCAUUGAUCACCACCUUCAAGAUGCUCCCAGAAUCGUGCUGUCUAGGAAGCCAUUUAAACUGGUGAGAAGCCAUCCUCUCUUGAAUGGGGGCUCCCACUGUACAUCUGGCACCCACUUCACAGAUCCAUGAACUGGAAGAUGCUUUCUUAUAACUCAGAGAAAAGAGAUGAAAAUGAAUCAAAGAACAGGAAGGAGACAAGCUCAGGAGAGUCACCCUAAGAAGGACGUGUGGAAGACUUGACUGAUUGGAGGAUCAAAAUGUGUCGGGGGAAGGUGUACAAGGAGGAGUAAGGACACAGAUGUCCUGACUUCACACAGUGGGGGAUUAGAAGCCACCAUCAAAUACAGAUGAAACAGGAAUAAAAGUAGUAGUACAUUACUUAAGCUUUAAAAGGGUAAGACUCCUGGGAAUUUGGAAGCUGAGACUUGAGGCAAGUAUUUAGGAUUUGCUGUCUCACCUCC
RNAcentral lists this long non-coding RNA (592 nucleotides) under Pan troglodytes (chimpanzee). RNAcentral's name for it is "long non-coding RNA NONPTRT008451". Lineage: Eukaryota; Metazoa; Chordata; Mammalia; Primates; Hominidae. The record is from RNAcentral.